This 715-nucleotide long non-coding RNA is filed under the name Bos indicus x Bos taurus (hybrid cattle). RNAcentral describes it as "lncRNA (ENSBIXG00000028263.1)". The record is from RNAcentral. Lineage: Eukaryota; Metazoa; Chordata; Mammalia; Artiodactyla; Bovidae.
UUAAGUGACUUUUCACUGAGUUAAAACAUUAUACCUACAAAUUUCACUUUAUACAUGUUGUCAAUAUUUUUUUAAAAGGACAGAAGGAAGUAUGUGCCUCAUGGUAUUUUGCUAGCUUCUUAAACUUUGCUGCUCACAUUGCCAACCUAAGUGUAUCCUACCCUUGGUUCCUUCUCCACGUACAAACUUAGAACCCCAAAGCCUGCUUUGCACACUCUCCAGUGAUGAUUGAGGGCCGCUUCAGGUGAUGCAUGUCACCUUCCUGCAAGGCAACCAGUUUGCAGAUCUGGCCAGAGGGAAAAUUACUGGACAACAAAAUGAAAAGGAGGCGUAAGUCAGCCCAGAUCUCUGAACCCUAGGAAAGGCAACUUCCCUCCCGCUCAUGAAAGAGGACGAUUGUGCUCAGUACCACUUAUCUGGUGCCAACAAUCUGGUUUUCCAGUUCCCUCCUCCUUUCCCUUAUUUCCACCACCACCUGCAACUUCAAAACUAAAGAUCAGACACCAUCAUCCUGUUGUUUGAAACUUUCUCUGAAAGCUGGUCCUUUCCCUUCCCCAGCCUCUUCCUGGUGCCUCCCUGCAAAGGCAGAAUGUUAAUACACAGAUUUGUACGUGACAAUGUUAGGUGGUCCUAGUAUGCCAUGACUGUCCAUUUUGAAUAAGCCUUUUAAAGUUAAAGGAACCUUAGUGCUUGGAAUAUUUGUUUGCCCUUUCAU